This 3004-nucleotide ribosomal RNA is filed under the name Salmonella enterica subsp. enterica serovar Typhimurium. RNAcentral's name for it is "bacterial LSU rRNA". It matches the Rfam family "Bacterial large subunit ribosomal RNA". The record is from RNAcentral. Lineage: Bacteria; Pseudomonadati; Pseudomonadota; Gammaproteobacteria; Enterobacterales; Enterobacteriaceae.
UUAAGCGACUAAGCGUACACGGUGGAUGCCCUGGCAGUCAGAGGCGAUGAAGGGCGUGCUAAUCUGCGAUAAGCGCCGGUAAGGUGAUAUGAACCGUUAUAACCGGCGAUACCCGAAUGGGGAAACCCAGUGUGACUCGUCACACUAUCAUUAACUGAAUCCAUAGGUUAAUGAGGCGAACCGGGGGAACUGAAACAUCUAAGUACCCCGAGGAAAAGAAAUCAACCGAGAUUCCCCCAGUAGCGGCGAGCGAACGGGGAGGAGCCCAGAGCCUGAAUCAGCAUGUGUGUUAGUGGAAGCGUCUGGAAAGGCGCGCGAUACAGGGUGACAGCCCCGUACACAAAAGCGCAUGUGCUGUGAGCUCGAUGAGUAGGGCGGGACACGUGGUAUCCUGUCUGAAUAUGGGGGACCAUCCUCCAAGGCUAAAUACUCCUGACUGACCGAUAGUGAACCAGUACCGUGAGGGAAAGGCGAAAAGAACCCCGGCGAGGGGAGUGAAAAAGAACCUGAAACCGUGUACGUACAAGCAGUGGGAGCCCCACCACCAAAGCAUUCUCUGGUGUUGAAGGCCCUGCAAAGCAGCAUCGCGGUGGCGGAGCGUCGUUUGCGACGCCCAACACACAAAACAAGCGGUGAAUGCUUUGGGGUGGGGUGACUGCGUACCUUUUGUAUAAUGGGUCAGCGACUUAUAUUCUGUAGCAAGGUUAACCGAAUAGGGGAGCCGGAGGGAAACCGAGUCUUAAUUGGGCGUUAAGUUGCAGGGUAUAGACCCGAAACCCGGUGAUCUAGCCAUGGGCAGGUUGAAGGUUGGGUAACACUAACUGGAGGACCGAACCGACUAAUGUUGAAAAAUUAGCGGAUGACCUGUGGCUGGGGGUGAAAGGCCAAUCAAACCGGGAGAUAGCUGGUUCUCCCCGAAAGCUAUUUAGGUAGCGCCUCGUGAAUUCAUCUCCGGGGGUAGAGCACUGUUUCGGCUAGGGGGCCAUCCCGGCUUACCAACCCGAUGCAAACUGCGAAUACCGGAGAAUGUUAUCACGGGAGACACACGGCGGGUGCUAACGUCCGUCGUGAAGAGGGAAACAACCCAGACCGCCAGCUAAGGUCCCAAAGUCAUGGUUAAGUGGGAAACGAUGUGGGAAGGCCCAGACAGCCAGGAUGUUGGCUUAGAAGCAGCCAUCAUUUAAAGAAAGCGUAAUAGCUCACUGGUCGAGUCGGCCUGCGCGGAAGAUGUAACGGGGCUAAACCAUGCACCGAAGCUGCGGCAGCGACGCUGAUGCGUUGUUGGGUAGGGGAGCGUUCUGUAAGCCUGCGAAGGUGACCUGUGAGGGUUGCUGGAGGUAUCAGAAGUGCGAAUGCUGACAUAAGUAACGAUAAAGCGGGUGAAAAGCCCGCUCGCCGGAAGACCAAGGGUUCCUGUCCAACGUUAAUCGGGGCAGGGUGAGUCGACCCCUAAGGCGAGGCCGAAAGGCGUAGUCGAUGGGAAACGGGUUAAUAUUCCCGUACUUGGUGUUACUGCGAAGGGGGGACGGAGAAGGCUAUGUUGGCCGGGCGACGGUUGUCCCGGUUUAAGCGUGUAGGUGUGUGUUCCAGGUAAAUCCGGUUCACUUUAACACUGAGGCGUGAUGACGAGGCACUACGGUGCUGAAGCAACAAAUGCCCUGCUUCCAGGAAAAGCCUCUAAGCAUCAGGUAACAUCAAAUCGUACCCCAAACCGACACAGGUGGUCAGGUAGAGAAUACCAAGGCGCUUGAGAGAACUCGGGUGAAGGAACUAGGCAAAAUGGUGCCGUAACUUCGGGAGAAGGCACGCUGACACGUAGGUGAAGUGAUUUACUCACGGAGCUGAAGUCAGUCGAAGAUACCAGCUGGCUGCAACUGUUUAUUAAAAACACAGCACUGUGCAAACACGAAAGUGGACGUAUACGGUGUGACGCCUGCCCGGUGCCGGAAGGUUAAUUGAUGGGGUCAGCGCAAGCGAAGCUCCUGAUCGAAGCCCCGGUAAACGGCGGCCGUAACUAUAACGGUCCUAAGGUAGCGAAAUUCCUUGUCGGGUAAGUUCCGACCUGCACGAAUGGCGUAAUGAUGGCCAGGCUGUCUCCACCCGAGACUCAGUGAAAUUGAACUCGCUGUGAAGAUGCAGUGUACCCGCGGCAAGACGGAAAGACCCCGUGAACCUUUACUAUAGCUUGACACUGAACAUUGAGCCUUGAUGUGUAGGAUAGGUGGGAGGCUUUGAAGUGUGGACGCCAGUCUGCAUGGAGCCGACCUUGAAAUACCACCCUUUAAUGUUUGAUGUUCUAACGUGGACCCGUAAUCCGGGUUGCGGACAGUGUCUGGUGGGUAGUUUGACUGGGGCGGUCUCCUCCUAAAGAGUAACGGAGGAGCACGAAGGUUGGCUAAUCCUGGUCGGACAUCAGGAGGUUAGUGCAAUGGCAUAAGCCAGCUUGACUGCGAGCGUGACGGCGCGAGCAGGUGCGAAAGCAGGUCAUAGUGAUCCGGUGGUUCUGAAUGGAAGGGCCAUCGCUCAACGGAUAAAAGGUACUCCGGGGAUAACAGGCUGAUACCGCCCAAGAGUUCAUAUCGACGGCGGUGUUUGGCACCUCGAUGUCGGCUCAUCACAUCCUGGGGCUGAAGUAGGUCCCAAGGGUAUGGCUGUUCGCCAUUUAAAGUGGUACGCGAGCUGGGUUUAGAACGUCGUGAGACAGUUCGGUCCCUAUCUGCCGUGGGCGCUGGAGAACUGAGGGGGGCUGCUCCUAGUACGAGAGGACCGGAGUGGACGCAUCACUGGUGUUCGGGUUGUCAUGCCAAUGGCACUGCCCGGUAGCUAAAUGCGGAAGAGAUAAGUGCUGAAAGCAUCUAAGCACGAAACUUGCCCCGAGAUGAGUUCUCCCUGAGACUUUAGGUCUCCUGAAGGAACGUUGAAGACGACGACGUUGAUAGGCCGGGUGUGUAAGCGCAGCGAUGCGUUGAGCUAACCGGUACUAAUGAACCGUGAGGCUUAACCU